CGAAACGGGGAAGUCACUCCCUCUCUCCUCCCUCCGCCAAGGUCUGAACUCCAGCGUUUCUGCCUGCGUGUGUCGCUGCCGGCCGGAUUCAAGGCUUUGCAGCUGAGAUUCGACGGGCGGGUGGUACUGGUCACCGGCGUGGGGUGAAUGAUUUAGGAGGGGUCCACAGGGGAAUUGGUCAAGGCUCUUCAGCUGCUGAUAAAGUUGUUGCAGAAAUAAGAAGAAAAGGCGGAAAAGCGGUAGCCAACUAUGAUUCAGUGGAAGCAGGAGAGAAGAUUGGGAAGAGAGCCCUGGAUGCUUCUGAGAGAAUAGGUGAUGUUUCUAUGCAUUUAUGGCACUAACAGAAGCUUCUCCCUUCCUAAUAAAAUAUUUUUUAUUUUACUUUUAUUAAAAACUCCCUCUUUCUUGAUAAUGAAGUUUUUAGAUUUGUUUUAUAAAUUAAGUAGUUUACAUACCCUACCUUAUUCCACAGAGGGUUCGAGAUGACAGUUUUUAGGUGAAGAUGUAUUGAGAUUUUGCAUUUUUUUGUACUUUAAAAACUUUUAAAAAACCUGUAAGAUUCUCUAAGUUCCCUUUUUAUAGUAAUUUAAUUAUACCCCAUGUGUUAUAAUAAUAGUAUGUCAGCUAUACUUCAAUUUUAAAAAUUCUUUUGAACAUUAAAAAAAGGUUUAAGAAUUUAUACCCCAAAUGUCUUUAUAAAAUAGAAGAUAAGUCAGUGUUUUGACAAUAGAGAACCCAGUGGAUUCUUUUGGAUAAUUAUAAUGAUUUGGAUUAAAAUGAUUCAAUAUCUUACAAAUUAAUUAAGGUGAAUUAUAUAUAAUGCAAGGUUUUAUUUUUAAAGCAUUUCAAAUAUAUUGUUCAGUCCAUCCUUCUCUAGUUGUUCUUCCUGGUUUAGUCCCACACAUUUUAAAAAAGACUGUUGAGCUGCUAGAGGGCAGCAGUACUGCAGAUAAGCCCAACGUGUUUACAGUUUGAAAAACCUUAAUUUUCAUAAUUUGCGUUCCCUUCACCAUGGUUUUUUUUGCCUGGCAUAUUUAUUUUUCUAGUUAUGUUUGGUCUUGCUUAUAAGAGACAUGUUCACAUAUUAUCUGACAGAGGGAUAGAGACCACAAAGGUAUAAAAUCAUAGGGUGAAAUAGCCAUAAGAUGGCAGUCUGGAUCUUAAAAAAAUAAUUCCUUUCUUUUCAUAGUGAGAAUACAAUUAUGUAUUAAGACAGGCCACCAGUGUCUCACUAUAAUGGUUUCCUUUAUGGGCUUUUGACUUUUGAGGGGCAGGGAAAAUUUUUUGAAACUUGUAACUUUGUGAGUGGAUUUGGAGGUUAAACAAGGGAUGACCUGUACCACUCAAUCCUAAGAACCUAAAAGUCGUACAACAGCUUAUUCUGUAAAUAAGAUGGUGGCAUUUUGGUAGAAGGUUGAGGCAUUUAGCUAUGUAAGUUUGAGAGGAAAGCACCGAUAAAUGAGGUACUUGAGUUUUUGUGACUCAGAUAUUGUUUCUGCUGUCAUUAUAAAAUUUUGUUCUCAUAGCACUCUUUACCUAUUAUAUUUAUUUUGCCAUGGGGGGAAAACAGUUUUGAAAGAAAUGUGGGUUGUAAGCAAGUGCUGAUUAAUAUGUUAGCUUUUUUAUUUGUGACUUAGAUAUUUUUACAUUGUAGAUAUUGUGGUUAUACCACAAUGCUGGGUAAGUAUACUUACUUUUUUUUUUUUUAAGUCUUAAAUCCAUUUGGGAUUUAUUUCAGUCCAAGGUGUGUAGGAAGGAUCCAGCCUUACAUUUAUCUCCAACUGAUUAGACAGUUAUACAAACACCAGUUAUUAAAUAAUUCAUCCUUUCUUUGCUAAUUUGACAUGCCAUUGUUACCACAUACUAAAUUAUUAGACAUAUGUGGGUCAGUUUCUAUAUUUAAUUUUUUUUCUUUUACUGAUCUAUCUUUUCUGGGACCACCAGUAUACUGCUUUUAUUAUGGUGGCUUUUGUUAGCUGGUAGAAAAGGGAUUCUUGCCUUAUUUUUUGUUUAAAAACUUUCCUGAUGAAUUUUUGGAAUCCAGAUGACUCUGGAUUUCACAUUUAUUUUUUCAGAUGAACUUUGGAAUCGCCUUGUCAAAUAUCCCUUCCUACAAUUUGAUAGAUAUGUACUUACUGCCAUUUUAUUAAUUGUUUUCUCUUGUAUUUUAUUUUUAUUUAUUUUUAUUUUUUUCUCUUGUUUUUUGUAUCUCCUCUCUGUUCCUUUCUUCCUCUCUUAUAUUUUCCUCCUAUUAUUGAUGAUUUUCUUUAGAGUUGUAAUUGGAUUUCUCUCUCUUCUUAAAAUUUAUUUAUUCUUGUGUGUGUGUAUUUAUUGUAGGCUUUAGUUUUGGGGUUACCAAAGGUUCAAGAGUAGCUUCUUUACUAUAUAAUAGUCUAUCUUAAAUUGCUGAUUAGUCUAUUUCAAAUACAAUCUAAAGGAACUUUUUUCCCUUCUUCUUCCUCCUCCACAUUUCUUGUAUUAGAUGUCAUAAUCUGCACUUUUUGUGUAUCCCUUGAGUGAUUUUGUGUAUAGUUGAUGGUGCUUCUUUUGCUUUAAUUUUGUGCUUGCUUGGUAAUUAGUUGGUCUACUACCUUUACUGUGGGCUUAUUUUCACGGGUGAAAGCUGUGUAGCCUUCAGGUCAUUUCUAUCUACAGCAGUCCCUUUACCGUAUCAUGUGAGACUUAGUGGCUCUAUUUUAGGUUUUCUGUCUCUGUUGAAGUCCUCCCUGAGAUCUUGAAUACUUUUCUGUAAAUCCGUGAGCAUGUUUAUGACUAAAUUUGAAAUCUUUAUCAAGAAGAUUGGUGACCUCUGUUUCAUUUAGCCUUCUUUCUGGGGUUCUGUCUUGUAGUUUUGAUUGGAUCAAAUCCCUCUGCCUUCUCAUUUUGUCAGGGCUUCUGUUUCUUCCUUUGUAUUAGGUGUCUGGGCUCUGCUUUCUGGCCUGUGGAAUGAUAGCUUUAUGAAGAAGGUGUGCUAUGGUUCCCAGAAGCUCAAGAUUCUUUGCUCUCCAGUGCCUGGCCCCAUUUUGCAGGGGCCCCAGUUGCUGGCAUGCUGUGGGCAGGGCACCCUUCUGUCUGGCUUCUGUAGUGGUCUUAGUCUGGGUGGGCAGUUUGCUUGAACUGCUGCCUUUGUGAUCAGCUCAGGAGUCUCUGCUGAGCUCGCUGUGGGUGCCCCACCCUCUGCCUGGCCUGCAGCAAUGACAGGGCUGCAGGGUUAAUGGGGUGGCUGGAGUGAUGCGCCUCAGCUGGAUGCACAGCAUGGGGUUUAGACACCCUCAGGGAGGAAGGAGCUCCUGGGGCUGUUGCCUCCAGGCACCUCUCUGGCUGCGCUGAAAUGGAGGCAGGCAAGCUGGGAGAGUCUCCCUCCACCUGCCGGGCAGCAAAGGCUGAUGCUGAUGCUGGGCCACGUGGGCGGGUUGCCCCAGUGCCCAGGGAGGGGCCUCAGGGCUGCAUUGCAAGCAACAGAUGGAGCAUCUGGAGACCCCGAGGGUUCCCGAUCUGUGGGGCUGAGGAAGGGCUGGGGAGGUACCCUCCACCUGCUCGUUCUCCUGAGGACAGAGUUCUGUCCAACCCUCACCUCUCUAGUACCCCUCCCACUGCUGGCACUCCCACUUUGGGUCUCAGGACCAGCAGAGCAUGCCUGCCCUCCACACUGGCUGGAGUCUCAGCCUCCCAGAGUGUCCCGCCUGCCCCUGGUGUCCAGCCCCAGGAACCACCGGAACCCAGUGUGACGUGGGCUUGUGCUCCCAGAGCAGAUCCCCAGGGCCAGAUAUGCAGCACUCCCGGGAGCCUUCCCCUUCCCCUCUCCGGUCCUCUCCUGCCUGGAGGCUGGGCUGGAGGCAGGGCUUGAGU
This is a long non-coding RNA of Manis pentadactyla (Chinese pangolin), 3849 nucleotides long. RefSeq lists it as uncharacterized. NCBI's taxonomy places the organism in Eukaryota, Metazoa, Chordata, Mammalia, Pholidota, Manidae. The record is from RefSeq and is a predicted model, not a curated record. The transcript has 3 exons.